Molecule: ribosomal RNA, 508 nt
Filed under: Theileria cervi
Lineage: Eukaryota; Apicomplexa; Aconoidasida; Piroplasmida; Theileriidae
Description: SSU rRNA
Rfam family: Eukaryotic small subunit ribosomal RNA
Source: RNAcentral
GAGGGCAAGUCUGGUGCCAGCAGCCGCGGUAAUUCCAGCUCCAAUAGCGUAUAUUAAAAUUGUUGCAGUUAAAAAGCUCGUAGUUGAAUUUCUGCUGCAUCGCCUUUGCUCCCUUACGAGUUUUGGCAUUGCGGCUUAUUUCGGAUUUGCUUGCAUUUCCGAAUGUUUACUUUGAGAAAAUUAGAGUGCUCAAAGCAGGCUUUUGCCUUGAAUAGUUUAGCAUGGAAUAAUGAAGUAGGACUUUGGUUCUAUUUUGUUGGUUUUAGGUUCCAAAGUAAUGGUUAAUAGGAACAGUUGGGGGCAUUCGUAUUUAACUGUCAGAGGUGAAAUUCUUAGAUUUGUUAAAGACGAACUACUGCGAAAGCAUUUGCCAAGGAUGUUUUCAUUAAUCAAGAACGAAAGUUAGGGGAUCGAAGACGAUCAGAUACCGUCGUAGUCCUAACCAUAAACUAUGCCGACUAGAGAUUGGAGGUCGUCAGUUUUUACGACUCCUUCAGCACCUUGAGAG